This 244-nucleotide unclassified non-coding RNA is filed under the name uncultured fungus. RNAcentral's name for it is "partial contains 5.8S rRNA and ITS2". The stretch from base 1 to 52 matches the Rfam family "5.8S ribosomal RNA", at positions 103 to 154 of the family's 154-position model. The record is from RNAcentral. Lineage: Eukaryota; Fungi. RNAcentral also lists the same sequence under 2 other names.
AACGCACAUUGCGCCCCCUGGUAUUCCGGGGGGCAUGCCUGUUCGAGCGUCAUUUCACCACUCAAGCCUCGCUUGGUAUUGGGCGACGCGGUCCGCCGCGCGCCUCAAAUCGACCGGCUGGGUCUUUCGUCCCCUCAGCGUUGUGGAAACUAUUCGCUAAAGGGUGCCGCGGGAGGCCACGCCGUAAAACAACCCCAUUUCUAAGGUUGACCUCGGAUCAGGUAGGGAUACCCGCUGAACUUAA